CUCGGUGACAGCAGAUGGGAACUGUGUUCAAGGAAACCAAGGAUGGCAGGGUGGCAUUUUCCUUCUACUUGUGAGGAAGGUGGUUGGUUUGGGAGGGUGCUGGAUUUGCCUCAGUCUGCUUUGGGUCUUCUUCAUAAAAACCACUUAAAUGUGGAAAAUUCUGCGUGCGAGAGUGUGUGUCAGAGAGGAUAUUCUAGCCACACAUCAGCCCAGGUGUGUGUGCCUUGCAUUCAGUAUGUCACCUGGAGCUCACCGCAGCCUUAUAGAGCUGCCCAGUCUGGUUCAAAGGCCACCAGCCACGUGUGACUACUAAACACUUGAAAUGUAGGUAGUCUAAAUUGAGAUGUGCUUUAAGUGUAAGUAUUCACUGGAUUUCGUGGACUGGGCACGUUAAAAGGCUGUAAAAUAUUCCAUUACUACUUUUGUAUAUUGAUUACAUAUCAAAAUAAUAUUGUGGAUCUAUUUUUAAAAUUAAUUUCACUCCUUUUUCUUUACCUUUUUAAAUGGCUGCUGCACUAGUAGUGACUACUGGAAAAAUUUGUUACCUUUGUGACUCAUGUGGUAUUUCUAUUGAACAGCCCUGUUCUAGAGUAAAUGUAAUGACUCUCCCAAUUUCGCAGCUCGGAAAAGGAGGCUCAAAGAGCUGACUAGCUACAAAGCUAGUAAGUGAGGACAUCUAGAUUCCUUCUACAAAGACAAAGCCCAGGACAUCGUGGACUCUUCAUGACCAGCCAAGCUUGGUCCCCUCCAGAGAAUGGCCCUGCCCCAGGUAACUUCACCAAUAGCACAGUGCCACAAAGAUUUUCUGGAGAUAAUUGCCUCUGGCCUUGUUGUUGCCUUCAAGAUGGGGACUUGGGGCCAAAUAGCAGAAGAUGUGACCUGAUAGGGACCUUACUGGGAACAUGGGACCCUGACAGGGGUGCUUUUCCCUAUCUGUGGAGGGCUAGAUCACCCUCACGGAUGGUGCCCCCUCUGCUUUGUUUUGGUUGGGUCCUUAAGCACAUCACCUACCUUCUCUGAACCUCUGUUACCAUAUCCGAAACAUGGAAAUCUGUUUUUGUUAUGUCGUGUAUGUGAGACACAAUGUGAGCUGGACGUUUAGUGAACAUGCAGUCAAUAAAUAAAUGACAACAUUGAUUACAGCAGGCCCAGGCACAUGAGGACUGCCCGUGGAUUACUGGCAACAAAUGUCCUUGGCUGAGGCUCCCUCCUCCCGCCACCCAGUCUGCACCCAGCCUGCUUUCUCCUCUGCUCACUCCUCCCCCAGUCCCCGCCCCUGUUGUCUGUUGGAAUAUAAUCAAAGAAGCACACAGGCAGAUUUUUAAAUAAUGCCUGCCCAGCCUCAGGUGACUCAUCUGAUGGCUGUGAGCUCCAACUCUCCUCCAUGUGGGCGUCGCCAGCACCACCACAUUGUCACACAGCAAAGCUAUGCUGCACAGCACCCAUGCAGAUGAUAACAGGGGGAAACGAGGCCCACUGAUCCUCCCCUUCCCUGGAAUAGGCUUUUGGCAAGCUUUGGGGAAAGGUGGUUUUCUCCCCUACGCUCCUGUAUAAAAAGGAACAGAUCUUCUGGCUGUUGGGCAGGGUGGUGGGGGAGGAGAGCCAACAUCCUCCUGCCACCUGUCAUUUCCUGCUUUGGACUUGAUGUCACAGUCGAGUGUUUGAGCCAUCCCUGCCCUGAAGGCACUUUGGGGUGAUGAUGACAAAAUUCAGACUGGAAAGGAAAGGAGUGAAUUCCCAGUAGAAGGCUGGGCCGGGCCUGCAUUUUACAGAGGGACUCAGGAUCUCACGUUUCGCUCUGCUGGGCUGUUCUUAUUUCCUGCCUUCCAUGAGAGGAGUCUUGUGAAAGCACCCUGGAGAUGUGGGAUGAUGAUGAACAUUGCUCUCAGUGGAUGCCAUCUCUAACGCGACACAUGUGAUCUGGUUGAGAGAGAUUUAAUUGGGAUUCUGAAAUUUUGAGCAUCAGUAGAAUAAUGAAAACCCAAGAGCCAUUCCAGCAGUAAAGUUGUAUGAAUUAUUCGG
Molecule: long non-coding RNA, 2022 nt
Organism: Leopardus geoffroyi (Geoffroy's cat)
Lineage: Eukaryota; Metazoa; Chordata; Mammalia; Carnivora; Felidae
Exons: 2
Source: RefSeq, a predicted model, not a curated record